Acanthosepion pharaonis is the source of this 99-nucleotide non-coding RNA. NCBI's taxonomy places the organism in Eukaryota, Metazoa, Mollusca, Cephalopoda, Sepiida, Sepiidae. The record is from the annotation of a GenBank genome assembly.
CAUUGAAACACUUGUUCUCGUACGAUCAUCUUAGUUAAGCAAUAUUGAGCCUCGUCAUUACCUCGAUGGGUGACCGCUUGGGAAUACCAAGUGCUGUAA